GCGUGCAGCUGCGACUGGCGAGGGUGGAGUGACCACCGGGAAGCGGCUUGGAUCCGAUGCGAGCGUCGACCGCCUGGGCGCUUCCG
Molecule: non-coding RNA, 86 nt
Filed under: Actinospica robiniae
Lineage: Bacteria; Bacillati; Actinomycetota; Actinomycetes; Catenulisporales; Actinospicaceae
Also listed under: 1 other name
Description: ZTP sequence
Rfam family: ZMP/ZTP riboswitch aptamer (pfl RNA motif)
About the family: Previously known as pfl RNA. ZMP is also known as AICAR.
Source: RNAcentral